AGUGAGUGUAUAUUCGGU
This 18-nucleotide small nuclear RNA is filed under the name Arabidopsis thaliana (thale cress). Its description in RNAcentral is "snRNA_11991". Lineage: Eukaryota; Viridiplantae; Streptophyta; Magnoliopsida; Brassicales; Brassicaceae. The record is from RNAcentral.